GAUGAACGCUGGCGGCGUGCCUAAUACAUGCAAGUCGAGCGAACAGACGAGGAGCUUGCUCCUCUGACGUUAGCGGCGGACGGGUGAGUAACACGUGGAUAACCUACCUAUAAGACUGGGAUAACUUCGGGAAACCGGAGCUAAUACCGGAUAAUAUAUUGAACCGCAUGGUUCAAUAGUGAAAGACGGUUUUGCUGUCACUUAUAGAUGGAUCCGCGCCGCAUUAGCUAGUUGGUAAGGUAACGGCUUACCAAGGCGACGAUGCGUAGCCGACCUGAGAGGGUGAUCGGCCACACUGGAACUAAGACACGGUCCAGACUCCUACGGGAGGCAGCAGUAGGGAAUCUUCCGCAAUGGGCGAAGGCCUGACGGAGCAACGCCGCGUGAGUGAUGAAGGUCUUCGGAUCGUAAAACUCUGUUAUUAGGGAAGAACAAAUGUGUAAGUAGCUAUGCACGUCUUGACGGUACCUAAUCAGAAAGCCACGGCUAACUACGUA
This 497-nucleotide ribosomal RNA is filed under the name uncultured bacterium. RNAcentral describes it as "partial 16S ribosomal RNA". It matches the Rfam family "Bacterial small subunit ribosomal RNA", at positions 28 to 507 of the family's 1533-position model. The record is from RNAcentral.